UGAGGAAUAUUGGUCAAUGGGCGGGAGCCUGAACCAGCCAAGUCGCGUGAGGGAAGACGGUCCUAUGGAUUGUAAACCUCUUUUGUCGGGGAGCAAGAAAGGGUAUGCAUACCCUUACUGAGAGUACCCGAAGAAAAAGCAUCGGCUAACUCCGUGCC
This 158-nucleotide ribosomal RNA is filed under the name uncultured bacterium. RNAcentral's name for it is "partial 16S ribosomal RNA". It matches the Rfam family "Bacterial small subunit ribosomal RNA", at positions 355 to 509 of the family's 1533-position model. The record is from RNAcentral.